Long non-coding RNA from Myxocyprinus asiaticus (Chinese sucker), 291 nucleotides. RefSeq lists it as uncharacterized. Lineage: Eukaryota; Metazoa; Chordata; Actinopteri; Cypriniformes; Catostomidae. The transcript is spliced from 3 exons. The record is from RefSeq and is a predicted model, not a curated record.
GCACAUGGCACAGGCAUAAAAAUUCUAAAGCAUCACUGGACUUCUGCCCUGCAGACCCAAACAUCCACUUCAAUGGUGUGUGUUCUUUUAAUGGCCGCCUUCCCACUGGAGGUUCUGAUCCACAGCAAUUUGAAAGGAGGAAUGAGUAAAACUGACUGUGGUGCCGAGAGAAGGAGUGCCCUUGACAAGGACACCAUGGCAGCCAUAUAUGUGGCAGUGAAGAAGAGGUUUCCCAAUGUGUCCAGAGGAGCUUUGGGGAUUGCAGUGAAUUCUAAGCUGGGGGAACUGAGA